Molecule: ribosomal RNA, 497 nt
Filed under: uncultured bacterium
Lineage: Bacteria
Description: partial 16S ribosomal RNA
Rfam family: Bacterial small subunit ribosomal RNA
Source: RNAcentral
GACGAACGCUGGCGGCGUGCCUAAUACAUGCAAGUUGAGCGCUGAAGGUUGGUACUUGUACCGACUGGAUGAGCAGCGAACGGGUGAGUAACGCGUGGGGAAUCUGCCUUUGAGCGGGGGACAACAUUUGGAAACGAAUGCUAAUACCGCAUAAAAACUUUAAACACAAGUUUUAAGUUUGAAAGAUGCAAUUGCAUCACUCAAAGAUGAUCCCGCGUUGUAUUAGCUAGUUGGUGAGGUAAAGGCUCACCAAGGCGAUGAUACAUAGCCGACCUGAGAGGGUGAUCGGCCACAUUGGGACUGUGACACGGCCCAAACUCCUACAGGAGGCAGCAGUAGGGAAUCUUCGGCAAUGGACGAAAGUCUGACCGAGCAACGCCGCGGGAGUGAAGAAGGUUUUCGGAUCGUAAAACUCUGUUGGUAGAGAAGAACGUUGGUGAGAGUGGAAAGCUCAUCAAGUGACGGUAACUACCCAGAAAGGGACGGCUAACUACGUG